This 486-nucleotide ribosomal RNA is filed under the name uncultured bacterium. RNAcentral describes it as "partial 16S ribosomal RNA". It matches the Rfam family "Bacterial small subunit ribosomal RNA", at positions 30 to 507 of the family's 1533-position model. The record is from RNAcentral.
AUUGAACGCUGGCGGCAUGCCUUACACAUGCGAGUCGAACGGCAGCACGGGUGCUUGCCCCUGGUGGCGAGUGGCGAACGGGUGAGUAAUACAUCGGAACAUGUCCUGUAGUGGGGGAUAGCCCGGCGAAAGCCGGAUUAAUACCGCAUACGAUCCACGGAUGAAAGCGGGGGACCUUCGGGCCUCGCGCUAUAGGGUUGGCCGAUGGCUGAUUAGCUAGUUGGUGGGGUAAAGGCCUACCAAGGCGACGAUCAGUAGCUGGUCUGAGAGGACGACCAGCCACACUGGGUCUGAGACACGGCCCAGACUCCUACGGGAGGCAGCAGUGGGGAAUUUUGGACAAUGGGCGAAAGCCUGAUCCAGCAAUGCCGCGUGUGUGAAGAAGGCCUUCGGGUUGUAAAGCACUUUUGUCCGGAAAGAAAUCCUUGGCUCUAAUACAGUCGGGGGAUGACGGUACCGGAAGAAUAAGCACCGGCUAACUACGUG